This 397-nucleotide long non-coding RNA is filed under the name Gossypium barbadense (sea-island cotton). Its description in RNAcentral is "long non-coding RNA (GBAR_LNC006557)". The record is from RNAcentral. Lineage: Eukaryota; Viridiplantae; Streptophyta; Magnoliopsida; Malvales; Malvaceae.
CUCCCUCUCUCUCUCUCUCUCUGCAACCAUGACUGCCACGAUGGGUCCACCGCCUCCCAGGAACCCUAAACCCUCGACCGAACAGGAGUCGAUAGCCCAAGAACAAUCCGAACCCAUAACAGCCAAAACCACGAUGGGUCCUCCGCCACCUCUUCCCAUAAACCCUAACCCCUCGACCGAACCCGAGUCGAUAGCCCAAGAGGAAUCCGAACCCAUAACAGCCAAAACCACGAUGGGUCCUCCGCCACCUCUUCCCAUAAACCCUAACCUGCAAAAUCCCCUAGACGAAGAAAAACCAUCAAAGUCAGAACCAAAUUCAACUGAAAAGCCCUUAAAUCCAAAGCAAUCUUCUGUGCCUUACACAAUCCCUCCGUGGAGUGGACCUCCUUGUCACCAU